GACGAACGCUGGCGGCGUGCUUAACACAUGCAAGUCGAACGGAAAGGCCCUGCUUUUGUGGGGUGCUCGAGUGGCGAACGGGUGAGUAACACGUGAGUAACCUGCCCUUGACUUUGGGAUAACUUCAGGAAACUGGGGCUAAUACCGGAUAGGAGCUCCUGCUGCAUGGUGGGGGUUGGAAAGUUUCGGCGGUUGGGGAUGGACUCGCGGCUUAUCAGCUUGUUGGUGGGGUAGUGGCUUACCAAGGCUUUGACGGGUAGCCGGCCUGAGAGGGUGACCGGCCACAUUGGGACUGAGAUACGGCCCAGACUCCUACGGGAGGCAGCAGUGGGGAAUAUUGCACAAUGGGCGGAAGCCUGAUGCAGCAACGCCGCGUGCGAGAUGACGGCCUUCGGGUUGUAAACCGCUUUCGCCCGUGACGAAGCGUGAGUGACGGUAAUGGGUAAAGAAGCACCGGCUAACUACGUG
This 468-nucleotide ribosomal RNA is filed under the name uncultured bacterium. RNAcentral's name for it is "partial 16S ribosomal RNA". It matches the Rfam family "Bacterial small subunit ribosomal RNA", at positions 28 to 507 of the family's 1533-position model. The record is from RNAcentral.